RNAcentral lists this long non-coding RNA (551 nucleotides) under Pongo abelii (Sumatran orangutan). Its description in RNAcentral is "lincRNA". The record is from RNAcentral. Lineage: Eukaryota; Metazoa; Chordata; Mammalia; Primates; Hominidae.
UUGGCGGGGCUUUUGUCUCUCGCUGCAGCCAGAGCUUGGGAUCCCUUUCUGCUGUUCAACGUCCUCCACCUCUGCCCCCCUCUCCCCCAAGCCGGUGACAGGCUGUUGCCCUGUGAUCUGCAGGUCCUGGGACGUGCACAGCUAAGAUGCCAGGACAUUCUAGAAGCAUCUGAGUGAUUUGACUCUCCUGCCUGGACCCAGUGUACAGAUGGGAUUGUGCUUUAUUGCUGGACCCAGCAUUUAGGGAACGUCACUCCUGUGGAUGAUCAAAGCUACUCAGGGGGCUGAGGCAGGAGAAUCGCUUGAACUCGGGAAGCAGACGUUGCAGUGAGCCAAGGUCGCACCACUGCACUCCAGCCCAGGCAACAGUGUGAGACUCCACAUCAAAAAGAAAAAGAAAAAAAGUGUACUAACAAGACCCAGCACACAGAGGAGACUUUUACCAUUAUAUGAACACCCAUCAAACAGUACACAUCAUCAUUGUGAGUUCUGAAUCUCACACAUAGAGGAAGUCAAAGGUGGAAAAAUUGACUCUCAUAGUUGGAUCCAGU